Molecule: transfer RNA, 76 nt
Filed under: Pseudomonas aeruginosa
Lineage: Bacteria; Pseudomonadati; Pseudomonadota; Gammaproteobacteria; Pseudomonadales; Pseudomonadaceae
Description: tRNA-Thr
Rfam family: tRNA
About the family: Transfer RNA (tRNA) molecules are approximately 80 nucleotides in length. Their secondary structure includes four short double-helical elements and three loops (D, anti-codon, and T loops). Further hydrogen bonds mediate the characteristic L-shaped molecular structure. tRNAs have two regions of fundamental functional importance: the anti-codon, which is responsible for specific mRNA codon recognition, and the 3' end, to which the tRNAs corresponding amino acid is attached (by aminoacyl-tRNA synthetases). tRNAs cope with the degeneracy of the genetic code in two manners: having more than one tRNA (with a specific anti-codon) for a particular amino acid; and 'wobble' base-pairing, i.e. permitting non-standard base-pairing at the 3rd anti-codon position.
Source: RNAcentral
GCCGGUAUAGCUCAGCUGGUAGAGCAACUGACUUGUAAUCAGUAGGUCCCAGGUUCGACUCCUGGUGCCGGCACCA